Dermacentor andersoni is the source of this 1299-nucleotide long non-coding RNA. RefSeq lists it as uncharacterized. NCBI's taxonomy places the organism in Eukaryota, Metazoa, Arthropoda, Arachnida, Ixodida, Ixodidae. The record is from RefSeq and is a predicted model, not a curated record.
UAGCGACAGGCGAACCGGCGAAUGACGAGCCAGAUGUUUGCCGUCAUUCGUCAGGCACACCGCCGAAGCGAGAGAGACCGGCCGCGCAUCUGAGCGUUGGACUGUUCGGGCACCCGUCUGCCUGUUUUUCUAUUUUGGGAUUUAGCCUGGUUUGGUGGCCUCCCGGCGAAUUAUUGCGUUCAUUCGGAACUUCGACAUGGCAGCACUGCACUAUUGGACUACGGCAAGCUCACGUCGUCUGGUGGAGCUUCCUGCGGAAACUGCUGCUUACCUGGUGCCACAACGCUGGAUGAAUGCACAAAAAGCCCGCGACGAGCAUUCACAAAAAACAAAAUAAACGUUAAUUUUUCCUCAUUUCACAAGGUGUCUUGCGUCUUUAUGAAAUUGCACGUGGCACAUAUUCAAUGGAGGCUUGUGAAGAUCGUUCGGAAUCAAUUUUACUUAAAAUGAUUUACAAAUAAAUAUUUAAUAAAUAAAAAAUAAAUUUAUAAAGAAAUACUUGCUGCAAAAGCAAAAAAAAAAAAAAAAAAAACGGAGCCGGCGUGACGCGCACCAGCUAGUAUUCAAAACGGGCGCGCACAAAACCGAAACCGGAAGUAUGCUUCAGGUUUUAACAUCCACGGCUUGGUGCGCUGCAGUCAAUUCGACCGCUGGGCUCUAUGGGAGUGUCCGCUCUUGUUGUAUUCCGGCGUAAACUGGUGACACGCGCGUGGUAGAAGCGAAAUGCCGUACUAAAACGCUGCUGCCACGCACGGAAGUGACGUCACAGUUAUGAUGACGUUGUUUAAACAAGUAUGGCGUGUUCCGGUUUAUAGUUUUGCGCGCGCUGCUGGAGCUGCUUCAGCUUUUCAGCUUAGCUAAAACACAAUUUUACGGUUUCUUACUGUGUUGUGUGAUAGAAUGUUGUUCUAGUUAGUUGCGCUGGAAGAACCGGAUGGUGUUCGAGCUUGCGAUCUCGAGCCACACUUGGGCGCAACGCUGGAGCAGCUCGUUUCUUUAUGCCUUGGAGAGCGUUUAUGAACUUCAUCCGACCAAACACCAGAGAAAAGAGUGAUGCUGAUACAGACACACAAGUUUUUUUGGCAGUGGAAUAUGUUAACUGGACAAACUGCUGCAAGCGUUGCAUAGCAACAUGCAUUGAAGCUGGUGAGCAAGUUGAAGUGCAUGAUCUGCAAAUUUUCUGCCAAUAAUUUGCAUUGUCAGACAUCUGUGACGAAGGUGCAGAAAGGAUUGCUGGCAUCUGGACCAGGUUCUUGCUAAGUUCGUAGCAACUGCUAUUACACUGGAGGACAAAAUAAA